GAUGAACGCUGGCGGCGUGCCUAAUACAUGCGAGUCGAGCGAACAGACGAGGAGCUUGCUCCUCUGACGUUAGCGGCGGACGGGUGAGUAACACGUGGAUAACCUACCUAUAAGACUGGGAUAACUUCGGGAAACCGGAGCUAAUACCGGAUAAUAUAUUGAACCGCAUGGUUCAAUAGUGAAAGACGGUUUUGCUGUCACUUAUAGAUGGAUCCGCGCCGCAUUAGCUAGUUGGUAAGGUAACGGCUUACCAAGGCAACGAUGCGUAGCCGACCUGAGAGGGUGAUCGGCCACACUGGAACUGAGACACGGUCCAGACUCCUACGGGAGGCAGCAGUAGGGAAUCUUCCGCAAUGGGCGAAAGCCUGACGGAGCAACGCCGCGUGAGUGAUGAAGGUCUUCGGAUCGUAAAACUCUGUUAUUGGGGAAGAACAAAUGUGUAAGUAACUAUGCACGUCUUGACGGUACCUAAUCAGAAAGCCACGGCUAACUACGUG
Molecule: ribosomal RNA, 497 nt
Filed under: uncultured bacterium
Lineage: Bacteria
Description: partial 16S ribosomal RNA
Rfam family: Bacterial small subunit ribosomal RNA
Source: RNAcentral